RNAcentral lists this long non-coding RNA (798 nucleotides) under Olea europaea (common olive). Its description in RNAcentral is "long non-coding RNA (OEUR_LNC003105)". Lineage: Eukaryota; Viridiplantae; Streptophyta; Magnoliopsida; Lamiales; Oleaceae. The record is from RNAcentral.
AAUAGUUAAUUCUAGUGUUAAGAUAUAAAGAUUUCACGUCAAUUAAAUAACGCAAUAUAAGGAGAUAGGAUACUUCUCUUAACAAAAUUUACCUCUUAAGAUAGAAUUUUAAAUCUGAAUGUAAUGUCAGAGUCCAAUAAAUUUAAAUAACCAUUUCGAUCCCAUUAAGAUUCAAAAUAAGCACACAGAUUCUAGGAUUGGCAUUCUCAAACAAGUCAUCAUCGGGAGCAUGUUAGUGUAAAUCUCACAUUGAAUUACAACGAAUUAAAAUUCAAUGUAUUAUUAAAGACAAUAUUUAAAUGAUAUAUGUGGUACUAUCUAAUAGCUCUUCAAGUGAUCCAACAUCAAGUUCAUGAGGUCGGAAGUAUGAGGCUUGUCAACAUGUAAGUGUCCAUGUCAACAAGUUAUCCAGAGAGAGAUUUUUUUUUUCCAAAUACGUGUUAGUUAAUCAAAUGUGGAAUUUGAAAAAAGAAACUCCGUGUAAAAUGGGGUAGAAUUUUACGUCCACUUGCCAAAGGCAUUCCAUAGAAUUUUCAAGACUUUUGGCGUGUUAAAGACUUCACAAUCAAGUCAAGAUUUGUCUUCAUAUCCAAGUAGCAUGAGAAGAGUAUUCAUCCCUUCUCUAUUAUAAAACUCGUGCCUAAAAUUAAGAACCAACUUCUAUGCAUAGCCAUAUCUUCGUCCCGGAACCUAGAUUACCUUCCGAAAAAGUAGAUCUAGUUACAUAACUCUAAAACUAUAAACUAAUCACUUAGUUUCAGAAUUACAAAUUUAAUAAUAUAUAAAUAUUGCCUUGCA